Molecule: ribosomal RNA, 333 nt
Filed under: uncultured bacterium
Lineage: Bacteria
Description: bacterial SSU rRNA
Rfam family: Bacterial small subunit ribosomal RNA
Source: RNAcentral
GACGAACGCUGGCGGCGUGCCUAACACAUGCAAGUCGAACGAAGCAUUUAAGUGAAUCCCUUCGGGGUGAAGCUUUUAUGACUUAGUGGCGGACGGGUGAGUAACGCGUGAGUAACCUGCCUUUCAGUGGGGGAUAACAUCCGGAAACGGGUGCUAAUACCGCAUAGUUUCUUUUUCCGCCUGGAAGAAGAAGGAAAGAUGGCCUUUGCGCUAUCACUGAGGGAUGGACCCGCGGCGUAUUAGUUAGUUGGUGGGGUAAUGGCCUACCAAGACGAUGAUACGUAGCCGACCUGAGAGGGUGAUCGGCCACAUUGGGACUGAGACACGGCCCAA